This 73-nucleotide transfer RNA is filed under the name Chitinophagales bacterium. RNAcentral's name for it is "tRNA-Phe". It matches the Rfam family "tRNA". From Rfam's summary of the family: Transfer RNA (tRNA) molecules are approximately 80 nucleotides in length. Their secondary structure includes four short double-helical elements and three loops (D, anti-codon, and T loops). Further hydrogen bonds mediate the characteristic L-shaped molecular structure. tRNAs have two regions of fundamental functional importance: the anti-codon, which is responsible for specific mRNA codon recognition, and the 3' end, to which the tRNAs corresponding amino acid is attached (by aminoacyl-tRNA synthetases). tRNAs cope with the degeneracy of the genetic code in two manners: having more than one tRNA (with a specific anti-codon) for a particular amino acid; and 'wobble' base-pairing, i.e. permitting non-standard base-pairing at the 3rd anti-codon position. Lineage: Bacteria; Pseudomonadati; Bacteroidota; Chitinophagia; Chitinophagales. The record is from RNAcentral.
GGUGGGGUAGCUCAGUUGGUAGAGCGAAGGACUGAAAAUCCUUGCGUCGCCAGUUCAAUUCUGGCCCUCACCA